AUGGAUAAAACCGGCGUGCAUAGCUUGCGGGCUGCCGAAAAUUUUCUGUUGCGCGAUAUCAAUGAGAAUUCAAGCAAGUUGGAGAAGGAUUGUUUCCAAAUUGCAUUUGUCAUCUUUGUUAUGGGCCAUGUACUAGCACCAACUACUAAGCACAACUAUGCUACCAUCGACUACUGGGGGGCGAUUGCAAAUACGGAGGCCAUAGUUCAGUUCAAUUGGUGUGAGUAUGUUCUGUUACAACUUCUGGAUGCAGUCAAGAAGCUGAAGAGCGACAUGCUGGCCAACAAUCAGUCCACCAAUCUAACCGGUUGCCAUUUUUUCUUCCAGAUUUUCUUGUUGGACAACCUUGAUCUCGGCAUUUUAAACAAGCCUCAUAAUGUGCUCCCAAGGAUAUCUGACUUCGACCCAGAGUCAUUUCGUAAAAUGUUGAUUAUGGCUGCCGAUCCAGUGAAAGGAGCUACGUCAUAUUCUCAUGCAAAUCUGAGAGAUGCGUCGACGGUCUGCUACAUACGGCAGAAGUUUCCCUCAUCUGUUCCGUCGUCAACAACUAGUAGAAGGCUGCCGAGGGGAUGUGCCACGCCUGCAAUAGGAAACCUUCAAUUCACAACUCCCCUACCACAUUGCGAUGCUGGUCAUCAGGUUAACACUGACGGAGCAAUGCCAUCUGCUGCAGCUCCUGGUCCAUUGGAUUUCGCAAAGUACUUACGUGAGAAGUACCCACAGCUUGUAGCAGACGAGAUCACAAUGAUUAUAAAACAGCAGUACGCAAGGGGCCUUAUGCAGUUGACACAAGCCAGCAAUUCUAUCCAGCAGGCCUUGUUACAAGCAAGAAAUGGUUUGCAACUGGAUAUGUACAAGUUUUCAGACCAAGUAAUCAACUCAGUGUCUACCCGCUGUGUAUGUUGUCGUGUGUGUGGUUUCACUGGUUGCCCUGCCUCAGGCACUGCUAAUUCCAAAUCGGUACGUUUUACCACGUCGGUGGCUCACAAAAUUCAGGGGAAAAGGCUAGAAUUAUCUGAAUCCGAAGCUACUUCGCCCGCAGCACAAAAUGUUUCGUCGCGCAAGAGAUCCGCUAAUAUGGAGGACUCCGUAUCUAGCAGCAAAAAAACCACGUUAGCGGCAUCUUGCAAUGUCCUCAAUCACUUCAAGUCUUGCCUCAUGUCCCUCGCUGAAAUGUAUGCUGACCUUCCUGCCAACACCCCUAUAACUGUAUUUGGCCAAUGUUCCAAGAACCUUGAGAAGAGGAAAUACAUAUUCCAGCACGGGUUCGCAACUGAUCCGUGGUGCAGGGGAGUUGCGCCGCAUCCCCCACAUCCACCAACCACGGACCUUAUUGCACCUCAUUUCUUGGAGCUGUCACAUCAAGAUCUGCGGAGGCACUACAUUGUACACGCCAGUCCUAGGCUUAUCCACAUUACUGGGAUGGCUAUGCUUGAUCAGCUAAUUGGGUCGCGCCCCCUUCAGCACGAGCUUGCCUCUAUAAUCAUGAGAAGGUAUUCUCAGUCUGAUCAGGAAGCCAAUUCGGAGUGCCCCUACAUGAAUUGGAGGCACAAUAUCGAACCUGAAUUUGCGACCAUCGUUCUUGCCGACCAAGAAUACUUGACAAACAUCUCAAUUCAGAAGCAGCUUGUUGGAAACGACAUCCCAUAUGACAUUACAUCAUGCCAGAUGUUCUUCCUGCCUGUCCCCCUCGAGGACGACUGGAUAGUGAUCAUGUGGGACAUGAUGUCAAGGAAGCUCCAUGUACUUGACCCGCUCAUCAGGGGAGAAGGUCCGCAUGACGCAACGAGAGAUAAGCAUGAGAUGAUUGCCUGGAAGCUACAUCAUGCACUUUUCCAAUGCCUUAACGAGUAUUAUGCUGGGUGGCCAACGCAAGACGGACAAUGGUCAACCAAAUACCCCGUAAUAGCUGAAGAAACAUUCUGCAGAGAUGAAAGUGGUGGGUGUGCUCUCCACAUAAUUAGGAACUACGAUGGCCAGAAGCUCAAAAUCCCCCUGACCAAGUACAACGCUGGCAGAACAAAAAGGCAAGCACUUCAUGAGUGCAUCAAGCUGCAGGGGAACUCAUCAAAGUUGGCGCAUGAGGCUCUGUGGACUGUCCUGGCGCCAACGGACUCAUGGGUUGAUUCAAUCCACUCCGGAUAUUCCAGGACAACUUGUUGGAACUGCGUCAGCCGAACAUCACUUCGUGUUUCGAAACCUUUUGCUCUCCCCUGGCCGUCACCGCCAUCUGUGCGACAUAGUCAGGUGCAACAAUCAUUAAGAUGGACGACGAAAUUCAUAGUGGGAUAUCAGGUUCUCAUUUAUGGACAUUUACCUCCAUCAUCCCGACGGAAAGAAGGACCAGGAUGGCAGUUUGUUUGGACAUCCAACACAUGUGCUCGAUCUGGUUCUGGCUGCUCUGUAUGGGCAACGUCUCUGGGAGUUGUAGGAGGCGCUGCAAUAGCAUCCGAGGAGGUCAGCUGGCACGCAUUACUCCUAUGUCCACCUGUAGUCCUUCUUCCACCCUCGUUGGCACCGCUACAGCUGUGA
Molecule: ribosomal RNA, 2532 nt
Filed under: Triticum aestivum (bread wheat)
Lineage: Eukaryota; Viridiplantae; Streptophyta; Magnoliopsida; Poales; Poaceae
Description: partial small subunit ribosomal RNA
Source: RNAcentral